CCUACGGGUGGCUGCAGUGGGGAAUAUUGGGCAAUGGGCGCAAGCCUGACCCAGCAACGCCGCGUGAAGGAAGAAGGCUUUCGGGUUGUAAACUUCUUUUAAGAGGGAAGAGCAGAAGACGGUACCUGAGUAAGAAGCUCCGGCUAAAUACGUGCCAGCAGCCGCGGUAAUACGUAUGGAGCAAGCGUUAUCCGGAUUUACUGGGCGUAAAGGGAGCGUAGGCGGCCUGCCAAGUCUGAUGUGAAAUACCGGGGCUCAACCCCGGGGCUGCAUUGGAAACUGGCAGGCUGGAGUGCCGGAGAGGCAGGCGGAAUUCCUAGUGUAGCGGUGAAAUGCGUAGAUAUUAGGAGGAACACCAGUGGCGAAGGCGGCCUGCUGGACGGUGACUGACGCUGAGGCUCGAAAGCGUGGGGAGCAAACAGGAUUAGAUACCCUUGUAGUC
This 442-nucleotide ribosomal RNA is filed under the name uncultured bacterium. Its description in RNAcentral is "partial 16S ribosomal RNA". It matches the Rfam family "Bacterial small subunit ribosomal RNA", at positions 338 to 795 of the family's 1533-position model. The record is from RNAcentral.